RNAcentral lists this ribosomal RNA (251 nucleotides) under uncultured bacterium. RNAcentral describes it as "partial 16S ribosomal RNA". It matches the Rfam family "Bacterial small subunit ribosomal RNA", at positions 524 to 776 of the family's 1533-position model. The record is from RNAcentral.
UACGAAGGGGGCGAGCGUUGUUCGGAAUUACUGGGCGUAAAGGGCGCGCAGGCGGCCCUUGAAGUCAGGCGUGAAAGCCCCGGGCUCAACCUGGGAGGUGCGCUUGAUACUCGAGGGCUUGAGUGCGGGAGAGGAGAGUGGAAUUCCCAGUGUAGAGGUGAAAUUCGUAGAUAUUGGGAAGAACACCGGUGGCGAAGGCGGCGACCUGGUCCUUGACUGACGCGAGCGCGAAAGCGUGGGGAGCAAACGGG